AUUCUUAACGGGUUAACAGAUUAGCCGUUAAGAAAAUUGAAUAAUCCAUCCCCAAACCGAUAAGCCGUUAAUAAAAAAAAUUCAAUUCGUUCCCCGUCCGUUAAGACGUUACCAGUAAGCCGUUAAGCUUCGGUUUGGAUUGGUUUUCGAUUUCGGAUCGGUUUUGAACACCCCUAUACCUCAGUAAUCGAACUCCUUUGAACUCUCUUUGAAGAAUAACCAGUCUAUAACAAAAUCAACAAAUAAAUAUAGUCAACUCAUAAUAGUGCUUACACUUAAACUUUCUGAUUAGAAGUUAUUUAAUAUGGAAUUUGAAUGCUUGAUAACCAAAGUAACAUCAAUGACUAUUUUGUGUUAUUUUGUCCGUAAGAGCGCCACAUAUUUGAAAUGCACUCAGUCUAGGUAAUCUAUUUUUCGUUCUAAAAUUUUUGGUUUGUUCUUAAUUUUUUUUCCCUGAUAAAUUUCAAUUUGUGACACAUCCAAUUUGCAAUGAUUUAUAAACAAAGAAAAUAACAAAGUUAUACCAUGUCACAAUUACCAAAUACUCUCCACGGUAAUCAUGCUAAACCAAUCCUUUUUUUCGUUUUGUAUUCAAUCUUAGUACAUAAACUCACGGCAAAAAAUAUCUCAUCGAAAUAGUGCAAUGUGCUACAGAGUUAGUGUGCUGCAAUUCACAAAUAAAAUAUACUCUCUCUAUCCCAAUUUAUUCGUUCUAUUUUUCUUUUUAGCAUACCCCAAAAAGAUUGUAAUACUUUCUUCCUUAUUUAGAAACAAUUUAACUUUAAAAUUUAUAUUUUACCCUUAAUGAAAUUAUUUGCAGCUAUACAAAUAUAUAGCUAAUUUUAGACCAUAAAUUUUAAAACUUUUUUGUUUUUAAACUUUGUGCCGAGCCAAACAACGCUACAUAAAUUGGGAAGGAGGAAGUAACAGCUAAGGAUAAUACAAUUUUAUGAAGUAUUUAAAUCCAAAAGUGUAAAUAGUACAUGCUAUUGCACAAAAAAUUAUGCAAUCUAUGUAGCAAAUAAAAGUUACAGUGAGUCAAUUAUAGGCAAUAUCAAUGGCUUUCCUAGUGUAUUUCAAGAGCAAUUAAAGCUAAAAUUUCAACACUAUGGAUGUAAAACCUCCUCAAUCAUUAGUCAUUGCAUACAUUACACUACUCCCUCUUUUUUCAAAGAAGAAAUUUUUUGCUAUACCAAUCUUAGUUAAUUCUAUUCCUCUACACCAUAUGUGCUCCAUAUUAUUUAGAAAAGAUCUGACUGCUAGACUUGUAACUACAACGCGAAGACGCUAAAAUUAAUAAGUAAAAGUACAAAAGCAAGGACACACACUAAAUUGCGUGCAGAGAUUUAGGCAUUACCAUCAUAAAGAUAAACAUAAUACGUGGACGAUAUGUUGAAGGAUCGAAGAAAGGGUACCAAGAUGGAUCAUUCAUAGCCUUUUUGAAGUGAUGGAGGAGGAGCGGCGAAUCAUCCAUAACAAUGGCAAGUAAAUAUUUUCAUCUUUUGAGUACAAAACCAUUUCAAUGAGGUAAAUUCAAAGUGGGAAUAAAGCUUUAAAAUUCUCUGCAAAAUCAGAAAUUGAGAAGAAGAUUGAGAAAGUAGAACCGAGAGAUUGUGAGUUCGAGUCUCACCAAGAGCAAGGUGAGAAGUUCUUGGAGGGAAGGAUGCCGGAGGACUAUUUGGAAACAAUCUCUCUACCCCAGGGUAGGGGUAAGGUCUGCGUACACUCUACCCUCCCCAGACCCCAGUAAGUGGGAUUAUAUUGGGUUGUUGUUGUUGUUAUAGAGAAAGUAGAAAUAAUAUGAAGUGAUUGUCUUUAUACUCAUAUCUGAAAUAAGUCAGAUGAAUUAUGAUGGUUUGCGAUGAUACAUUUUUUUAAGUUUAAUACAAAGUUAACAAUUUUUUAAUUCUAAUUCUGCUUCAGUAGUUAUUAAAUUUUGAAAUACCAAAUGAGUACAAAGCAGUGCAAUAGAAUCAUCCUCAUAUAAUUAAUUAAUCAAUGUAAAUUCUUUCCACAACACGUGAAAAAUGCAUUAUGUUUUUCGAUUCAGCUAACUAAAUAGGAGAAAUAAAAAGUUAUUAUCACGACUAUUAUAACAAAACAAAAAAAAAAAGAGAUAUUAAUAGGCUAUAUUCAAAUAUUUGGGAUUCGGCUGGAUUUUAUGGCGGAGACAUAAAUAAAGUUAUUGACGUGAUGUAAAUUGCAAGUGAUAAAGUUUUAUCGGGCCAGUCUUAACUCCUCGAGAUGGAGAGACCAUACGGAUUGAAAGUUCUCUAUCAAACCAAGAAUAUUGCUUUUCAAUCCACAAAGUGUGUAGCCACGAUCUAUCAAAACUCAAGCUUCGACCAGGGAGAAUCUAGAAGUUUAAUGGAAACGUAACUUCUUGCAAUAAAUUCAUCAAACACCUUUGGCACAAAACGUUUUACCUAAAAAUUUAGCAAAACCCAAUUAUAACUAACUCAAGCUUCAGGUAGCAUCAGUCAUAUGCUUCAUAUUAAACCCAGUUUCAUUGGUAGUGUUAUUCUAGCAAGGAGAGGCAAAAAGGAAAGGCAAGAAAACCAAAUGAAAAGAAGGUUAAAUCAAAUUUAACCCAAUCGCUUAGACCACAAAUUAAAGUAGAAACUAUUUAUAUUGAUAAAUGUUCUGCAUAUAAGGAUAAAAAACAUGAGAUACAAAGUAGAAGCAAAGGGUAGAAGAGAAAAUCCAAAACAAAUAACAUCAACAACAAAGAAGAAUAGCAGACAAAACAUAAAAAUAAAAUAGGAAAAAAGUUGAAACAAAAAAUAGCUGACAGACUAACCUGAACCUUGCAACACCCAAAGUAGAAGACCGUUGAAGGUAAUUACUCCAAGCCAGAAGCUAAUGAAAUAGGAAGAAAGCCAUUGGAAAAAAGUAUGUAGGAUAAGAUUGAAAGAGAGGAGGAUGAGAAGAUUAAAGCAAAAAUUGAGGUAAAGGUCUAUCUAAACUUGCGAUGAGAAGAUGAAUGGAAGGUGAAAGAGUUGGAAAGAGGGAUUAAAGUGAGUUUCUAGAAUUAUGUG
RNAcentral lists this long non-coding RNA (3038 nucleotides) under Nicotiana benthamiana. RNAcentral describes it as "long non-coding RNA (NBEN_LNC041252)". The record is from RNAcentral. Lineage: Eukaryota; Viridiplantae; Streptophyta; Magnoliopsida; Solanales; Solanaceae.